UCGCUUUGGGAGGAGCUCGCUUACUAUCAGCUUGUUGGUAGGGUAAUGGCCUACCAAGGCUAUGACGGUUAGGGGGUGUGAGAGCAUGACCCCCAGCAUUGGCACUGAAACACUGGCCAAACACCUACGGGUGGCUGCAGUCGAGAAUCUUCCACAAUGGGGGAAACCCUGAUGGAGCGAUGCUGCGUGCGGGAUGAAGGCCUUCGGGUUGUAAACCGCUUUUGUAGGGGACGAAAUUUUUGACGGUACCCUUUCGAAUAAGAGGUUGCUAACUCUGUGCCAGCAGCAGCGGUAAUACAGAGACCUCAAGCGUUAUCCGGAUUUACUGGGCGUAAAGCGUCUGUAGGGGGUUUAUUAAGUUCCAAGUAAAAUUUCAAGGCUCAACUUUGAAUUCGCUUGGAAAACUAAUAAACUGGAGUCCAGCAGAGGUGCAUGGAACUUGUGGUGUAGGAGUGAAAUCCGUUGAUAUCACAAGGAACACCAAAGGCGAAGGCAUUGCACUGGGCUAGCACUGACCCUGAGAGACGAAAGCGUGGGGAGCAAAACGGAUUAGAUACCCGUGUAGUCCACGCCCUAAACGAUGAAUGCUAAAUGUUCGGGGAUUCGACCCCCUGGGUGUUACAGCUAACGCGUUAAGCAUUCCGCCUGGGAAGUACGGCCGCAAGGCUAAAACUCAAAGGAAUAGACGGGGAUCCGCACAAGCGGUGGAGCGUCUGGUUUAAUUCGACAGUAAGCGUGGUACCUCACCAGGGUUUGACAUCCCUUGACAGCCUUGGAAACAAGGUUUCCUUCGGGCAAGGUGACAGGUGCUGCAUGGUCGUCGUCAGUUCGUGCCGUGAGGUGUUCCGUUAAGUCGGGAAACGAACGAAACCCCUAUUGCAUGUUACAAUUUCUCAUGCAAGACUGCCCGGAUAUACUGGGAGGAAGGUGGGGAUGACGUCAGAUCUGCAUGGUCCUUAUACCCUGGGCGACACAGGCGCUACAAUGGCAGAGACAAAGGGUUGCAAAACCGCAAGGUGAAGCUAAUCCCAAAAACUUUGUCUAAGUUCGGAUUGAAGGCUGCAAUUCGCCUUCAUGAAGCUGGAAUCGCUAGUAAUCGUGAAUCAGCCACGUCACGGUGAAUAUGUUCCCGGAUCUUGUACUCACCGCCCGUCACACCAAGAGAGUUGGUAGCUCCCNGAAGCGUCCCGUUUUAGCGGGGCAUCACGGAGAGAUCAGCGAU
This 1222-nucleotide ribosomal RNA is filed under the name uncultured organism. RNAcentral's name for it is "bacterial SSU rRNA". It matches the Rfam family "Bacterial small subunit ribosomal RNA", at positions 215 to 1475 of the family's 1533-position model. The record is from RNAcentral.